This 784-nucleotide transfer RNA is filed under the name Acetobacter pasteurianus. RNAcentral describes it as "partial miscellaneous RNA". The stretch from base 237 to 310 matches the Rfam family "tRNA". The record is from RNAcentral. Lineage: Bacteria; Pseudomonadati; Pseudomonadota; Alphaproteobacteria; Acetobacterales; Acetobacteraceae.
UGCGGCUGGAUCACCUCCUUUCAAGGAACUGUUCUGAGUUAAUUGGUUUACUGAUUGAUUUGGAAUGUUCUGAAUAAAAAGUCCUUUGCUUAUGGAUCGGCAAAGGCGCUGUCUGUCAGUUUCUGAUGUGUUUGUGCAUCGGGGGCGCCGUCAACAUAUCCCUUUCUGCAACAGAUGUCUGAGUGAUUUGGGCUGAUACGUUUUUAUGUAUUGUCUAGGUUAUUCAGUCGGGUUUUGGGCUAGUAGCUCAGUUGGUUAGAGCACACGCUUGAUAAGCGUGGGGUCGGAGGUUCAAGUCCUCCCUGGCCCACCACCAUUUGAGACUGCCGGUUCCUAUGGGGGCGUAGCUCAGCUGGGAGAGCACCUGCUUUGCAAGCAGGGGGUCGUCGGUUCGAACCCGUCCGUCUCCACCAAGGAUCCAGAGUGGUUUUGUGGUGUUGAGAGUAUCUGUUGCAAGGGAGUUUGUGGAUCGGACUUCAUUUAUGCGGCGCUGCGAUAGCGGCACGUAUGGGUGUGUGUCUGGUGUUGAUCUUUGUCAGUGUGAAUCGGUUGGUGCGCGUCUGGGCGUAUCAGAAAUGUGGGUUGGUCUGACCCGUAUUGAGCAAAGAGAUUUGCUCAUGCGUUAAGCAUUUCUGGUGUAAGCGUUCAGAAGCGUUUUGAAGAAGUAGACGUACUCGGAUGCGUCAUGCUUUGGAGCUGUUUGUAUCUGCGUAAGUAGGUAUGGAUGGUUUCUGUGCAUGGGGUGAGUGAGUAUGAGAAGGGCAUUCGGUGGAUGCCUAGGCAC